Molecule: long non-coding RNA, 386 nt
Filed under: Brassica napus (rape)
Lineage: Eukaryota; Viridiplantae; Streptophyta; Magnoliopsida; Brassicales; Brassicaceae
Description: long non-coding RNA (BNAP_LNC019324)
Source: RNAcentral
AGCAAGAACUCCACCAGCCAUAGUUGUACACGUUGUAAUUCGAUAGGAACAAAUGUCUUUGUAGCUUUGAUCCAACUACUAGUAGUGAGUAUAAUCAAAGCUCUUGGAGAUAAAAGGUUAUAAUAGGAGAUAUACUUUGACUAGUUCGCUCUCCUUAUCCCUUCUUAUAAGGAAAGGCCUCUUGACUUCAUCUUUGUUAUUUAGUCCAUGGUGGUUGGUACUAUUUAAUAUUUCCUUCGUAAACUACUUAUUAUAGAUGCAUGAUGUACUUCAUAUAGAAUACCCGAUCAAAAAUAUUAAAAUACACAAAACAUGUGUCACUAAUUGUGUUUUUAUUAACGAGAUAAAUAAAGACCCUAAACGUACGAAAGUUGCAUGUGAGCAAU